GACGAACGCUGGCGGCGUGCUUAACACAUGCAAGUCGUACGGUAAGGCCCUUUCGGGGGUACACGAGUGGCGAACGGGUGAGUAACACGUGAGUAACCUGCCCACAACUUUGGGAUAACGCUAGGAAACUGGUGCUAAUACUGGAUAUGUGCUCCUGCUGCAUGGUGGGGGUUGGAAAGCUCCGGCGGUUGUGGAUGGACUCGCGGCCUAUCAGCUUGUUGGUGGGGUAGUGGCCUACCAAGGCGGCGACGGGUAGCCGGCCUGAGAGGGUGACCGGCCACAGUGGGACUGAGAUACGGCCCAGACGCCGACGGGAGGCAGCAGUGGGGAAUAUUGCACAAUGGGCGCAAGCCUGAUGCAGCAACGCCGCGUGCGGGAUGACGGCCUUCGGGUUGUAAACCGCUUUCAGCAGGGACGAAGCUUUUUGUGACGGUACCUGCAGAAGAAGCACCGGCUAACUACGUG
This 465-nucleotide ribosomal RNA is filed under the name uncultured bacterium. RNAcentral's name for it is "partial 16S ribosomal RNA". It matches the Rfam family "Bacterial small subunit ribosomal RNA", at positions 28 to 507 of the family's 1533-position model. The record is from RNAcentral.